This 531-nucleotide ribosomal RNA is filed under the name Botryosphaeria sinensis. RNAcentral describes it as "eukaryotic LSU rRNA". The stretch from base 169 to 322 matches the Rfam family "5.8S ribosomal RNA". The record is from RNAcentral. Lineage: Eukaryota; Fungi; Ascomycota; Dothideomycetes; Botryosphaeriales; Botryosphaeriaceae.
UCAGGCUCGGCCGAUCCUCCCACCCUUUGUGUACCUACCUCUGUUGCUUUGGCGGGCCGCGGUCCUCCGCGGCCGCCCCCCUCCCCGGGGGGGUGGCCAGCGCCCGCCAGAGGACCAUCAAACUCCAGUCAGUAAACGAUGCAGUCUGAAAAACAUUUAAUAAACUAAAACUUUCAACAACGGAUCUCUUGGUUCUGGCAUCGAUGAAGAACGCAGCGAAAUGCGAUAAGUAAUGUGAAUUGCAGAAUUCAGUGAAUCAUCGAAUCUUUGAACGCACAUUGCGCCCUUUGGUAUUCCGAAGGGCAUGCCUGUUCGAGCGUCAUUACAACCCUCAAGCUCUGCUUGGUAUUGGGCACCGUCCUUUGCGGGCGCGCCUCAAAGACCUCGGCGGUGGCGUCUUGCCUCAAGCGUAGUAGAACAUACAUCUCGCUUCGGAGCGCAGGGCGUCGCCCGCCGGACGAACCUUCUGAACUUUUCUCAAGGUUGACCUCGGAUCAGGUAGGGAUACCCGCUGAACUUAAGCAUAUCAUA